UAACUAUUAAGUGCUUGCAGUUUGACUCACACCCGGGCCCGUUUAACUGGAAUAAAAUGUUCUUCAUGGACAGGGAUGUCUUAAAGUGCUUAAUCAAAAAUGUGAACUUAAUUACCCGGGGUCGCCUAUCGUAAGGGGGACAGCCAAUCCGAAUCGAUGUCACGGUCGAGUUAUACUCACGUAGCGAAACAUUUCAUGCAGUUAACAAUUUGGCGCGAGAACUAUUGUGUGCGUAGUGACCGAUAGAGCUGGUCGUGGUAAGUUUAUCUGUCUCCAUUAUUUCCAUAUUUUUAUUUGAUGUAUUUUUAUUGUAGCUUUGUGAUUAUUUUUGUAUUUCAGAAUGCAUAUUGAUGUCGAUACUGGUAUGCAGUCUUAAGGGGGGUUUAUGUAAAGGGAAGUAAGUCAUGAACGUUAUUUUUACAAUAAUAGACUGGUAUGAAGCGAAUUUCAGUAAAUCAUUUUAGCUUGCGGCUUCAGAUUAAUUACUUUAAACGGAUAUUUCCUUAUUUUUUCAGCGUACGGAAAUACACAUUAUUGAAUAAUUUAUUAUUCAUAUUACAGAUUAGUUUAAAUUUUUAGCACAAUAAGAUCGAUAUUUACUUUUAUCUAAUACUCUUCAUGUAUGUCAGUUUUCUGAGAUGCUCAAUCCAACCUCUGCUAUAGGGGAGGGUGGGGGAGGGGGAGGUAAGUCAUGCAUUUUUGUUUUACAAUUUAUUGACUGGUAAGUAACGAAUUUCAGUUAUGUUAGUUUCAAAUAGAUUAUUUUCAACUGACAUUUUCAGUAUUUUAUUAAUCUUAUGAAAAAUAACAUUAUUUAAUCAUUCAAUAUAUAUUAAAGAUAAGUAUUAAAUGAUUUUUAUUUUCGAUUACAUUUGUAUUCUCUCAUUCCUCUAAAAAGAAGAUUUGACCGAUAAUUACACGAAUCAUUAUGUGAUUACAUUGGUGUGCCGAGUUGGGGUAGGGGGUAUAUGUAAAGGGAGGUAAGUCAUGAACGUUAUUUAUUUGACUUGUAUGAAAUAAAUUUCAGUAAAUCAUUUUAGCUUCUAUAUUAAAAAAGAAAUCGGCAUCUUAUGAACACUAUAUGCUUUAAUCAUAUUGUGAAGUUAAUCCCCCUCCCCCGGGUCAUCCCCACCCCAGUAGGGGGGUUAAGUUUACUAUAAUUUGUGUAGGGAAAAUACCUAUGGUUCGGGAUAUUUUGUGUAGUUUCAAAAGGAAAUAGUUAAAUUCAAACUUAGGUACAAGUAACUAUUAAGUGCGUGCAGUUUGACGCACCCCCGGGCACGUUUAACUGGAAUAAAAUGUUCUUCAUGGACAGGGAUGUCCUAAAGUGCUUAAUCAAAAAUGUGAACUUAAUUACCCGGGGUCGCCAAUCGUAAAGGGGACAGCCAAUCCGAAUCGAUGUCACGGUCGAGUUAUACUCACGUAGCGAAACAUUUCAUGCAGUUAACAAUUUGGCGCGAGAACUAUUGUGUGCGUAGUGACCGAUAGAGCUGGUCGUGACAGGAGCUAGUUGGAUGCAGAACUGUUGAUAGUCUGGAUGCCAUUGCAACACUGUGCGUGGAAUGUACAUCAUUUGACUGGAUGGAAAAACAUGCAAUAGGCCUGAUUGAUCUAAAACCUGUCGCCCUUCAAACUGAGCUACAUACCGUUAAAGUUCAGGAACGAAUUUCCUCCAAAUCGGAUUGGAUAUUGCAAGUCUAGUGUUUUGAACAUGAAAACUCUGUGUAUCCUGUAUUCCCGGUAUCUACAAAAUCUUCACUUGUGCACAAGCAGGCUGCUGAAAAAUAUCUGUAAAUUUGAACCUGUAACCUGGGACGAAGAAAUGUUUCAAUUGAUAUAUGGAGCUGUUCACCAUGAAUAAGUGACCUAAAGACAUUUGAUCCUAAAAUUACAAAAUUAUGUGGUUUUUUUAUUAUGAUCGUAUCAAAAUGUUGUUCAUUUGAUAAAGGGCUAUCUCUGUUGAUUGGGUGUCAAACCCAAUCAACAGAGAUUAAAGUAAACUUUAGGUUAUCUUUUGAAAAGAACUACUUGUAAGUUUUCUGAGUUAUGUGAUAACAUUGUUUUCAUUUCAUACGAGCUUUUAUGAAACUUUUCUCGAAA
This 2100-nucleotide long non-coding RNA is filed under the name Mizuhopecten yessoensis (Yesso scallop). RNAcentral's name for it is "uncharacterized LOC110444894, transcript variant X2". The record is from RNAcentral. Lineage: Eukaryota; Metazoa; Mollusca; Bivalvia; Pectinida; Pectinidae.